UACGUAGGGGGCAAGCGUUGUCCGGAUUUAUUGGGCGUAAAGAGCGUGUAGGCGGCUUUACAGGUCCGUUGUGAAAACUCGAGGCUCAACCUCGAGACGCCGGUGGAAACCGUAAAGCUAGAGUCCGGAAGAGGAGAGUGGAAUUCCUGGUGUAGCGGUGAAAUGCGCAGAUAUCAGGAGGAACACCCGUGGCGAAAGCGGCUCUCUGGGACGGUACUGACGCUGAGACGCGAAAGCGUGGGGAGCAGACAGG
RNAcentral lists this ribosomal RNA (253 nucleotides) under uncultured bacterium. RNAcentral's name for it is "partial 16S ribosomal RNA". It matches the Rfam family "Bacterial small subunit ribosomal RNA", at positions 524 to 776 of the family's 1533-position model. The record is from RNAcentral.